RNAcentral lists this unclassified non-coding RNA (253 nucleotides) under uncultured Alternaria. Its description in RNAcentral is "sequence contains ITS2". The stretch from base 1 to 52 matches the Rfam family "5.8S ribosomal RNA", at positions 103 to 154 of the family's 154-position model. Lineage: Eukaryota; Fungi; Ascomycota; Dothideomycetes; Pleosporales; Pleosporaceae. The record is from RNAcentral.
AACGCACAUUGCGCCCUUUGGUAUUCCAAAGGGCAUGCCUGUUCGAGCGUCAUUUGUACCUUCAAGCUUUGCUUGGUGUUGGGCGUCUUUUGUCUCCAGUUCGCUGGAGACUCGCCUUAAAGUCAUUGGCAGCCGGCCUACUGGUUUCGGAGCGCAGCACAAGUCGCGCUCUUCGCCAGCCAAGGUCAGCGUCCAGCAAGCCUUUUUUUCAACCUUUGACCUCGGAUCAGGUAGGGAUACCCGCUGAACUUAA